This 305-nucleotide unclassified non-coding RNA is filed under the name plant metagenome. Its description in RNAcentral is "partial contains 5.8S ribosomal RNA, internal transcribed spacer 2, and large subunit ribosomal RNA". The stretch from base 1 to 105 matches the Rfam family "5.8S ribosomal RNA", at positions 50 to 154 of the family's 154-position model. The record is from RNAcentral.
GAAAUGCGAUAAGUAGUGUGAAUUGCAGAAUUCAGUGAAUCAUCGAAUCUUUGAACGCACAUUGCGCCCUUUGGUAUUCCUUAGGGCAUGCCUGUUCGAGCGUCAUCUAAACCUCCAAGCCCUGCUUGGUGUUGGGUGCCUGUCCCGCCUCCGCGCGCGGACUCACCUCAAAUCCAUUGGCGGCCCCCGCGUCGGCCACGAGCGCAGCAGAAACGCGAACUCGUGAGCCCGUCCGGGCGGCUCCCAGAAGCUACACCCACCCAGUUUGACCUCGGAUCAGGUAGGGAUACCCGCUGAACUUAAGC